Molecule: long non-coding RNA, 519 nt
Organism: Cervus elaphus (red deer)
Lineage: Eukaryota; Metazoa; Chordata; Mammalia; Artiodactyla; Cervidae
Exons: 3
Source: RefSeq, a predicted model, not a curated record
CUCCUCUGGGAGGCUGUGGAACAAGAAACACUUCUUUCCUAUUGCGGUUCAGUCUUAGGAUUUGUCUGGGAAACCGAGAGACGGUCCAGGGACUGCAUUCUAUCUAUCUCCAGAGAGAAGUUAAGGUGGCUUCCUCACAGUAUGAGGACAUCAGAGUACAUGGCAGCUGGCUUCCAACUGAGAGGAAGAAGACGCUUCCAGUGCAUGUAGGGUCUGGGUUCAGAGCUACCAGAAUAUUACUUCUACUGCACUCUGUUGAUCAAAGCAAGUCACAAGACCAGCCCUAAGUCAGGGAAAGGAAGUAUCUUCUACUUCUUGAUGGGAGGAGCACUUUGCACACACAGGGAGAGAUGAAUUAACAGUGGUCCUCUUUGGAGACUACCUACCCCAGAGAGGGAAGGAGAGAGAAGAGGAGAAUUGAGGAGGAGGAAGAGAGUGGCUGCCAUUUAUCGAUGAAGCAGGAAGAACACAGAGAAUACCCAGAGAUGAUCUCUGUUAAUAUUUUGAUUUGGGCUUCCC